RNAcentral lists this ribosomal RNA (440 nucleotides) under uncultured bacterium. Its description in RNAcentral is "partial 16S ribosomal RNA". It matches the Rfam family "Bacterial small subunit ribosomal RNA", at positions 338 to 795 of the family's 1533-position model. The record is from RNAcentral.
CCUACGGGAGGCAGCAGUGGGGAAUAUUGCACAAUGGGGGAAACCCUGAUGCAGCGACGCCGCGUGAGUGAAGAAGUAUCUCGGUACGUAAAGCUCUAUCAGCAGGGAAGAAAAUGACGGUACCUGACUAAGAAGCCCCGGGUAACUACGUGCCAGCAGCCGCGGUAAUACGUAGGGGGCAAGCGUUAUCCGGAUUUACUGGGUGUAAAGGGAGCGUAGACGGCAGCACAAGUCUGGAGUGAAAUCCCGGGGCUUAACCCCGGAACUGCUUUGGAAACUGUGCGGCUGGAGUGCAGGAGGGGUAUGCGGAAUGCGUGGUGUAGCGGUGAAAUGCAUAGAUAUUAGGAAGAACACCGAUGGCGAAGGCAGCAUACUGGAGCUCAACUGACGUGGAUGCUCGAAAGUGUGGGUAGCGAACAGGAUUAGAUACCCUAGUAGUC